Molecule: non-coding RNA, 160 nt
Filed under: Gorilla gorilla gorilla (western lowland gorilla)
Lineage: Eukaryota; Metazoa; Chordata; Mammalia; Primates; Hominidae
Source: Rfam by way of RNAcentral
GCUGGGCAUGGUGGUGUGCACCUGUAGUCCUAGCUACUUAGGGAGGCUGAGGCAGGAGGAUUGCCUGAGCCCAGGAGUUCGAGGCUGUAGUGCGCCGUGAUUGUGUCUGUGAAUAGCUGUUGUACUCUUGCCUGGGCAACAAAGUGAGACUCUGUCUCUU